Molecule: transfer RNA, 37 nt
Filed under: Codonopsis bulleyana
Lineage: Eukaryota; Viridiplantae; Streptophyta; Magnoliopsida; Asterales; Campanulaceae
Description: partial tRNA-Leu
Source: RNAcentral
AUCCGUCGAUUUUAGAAAUCGUGAAGGUUCAAGUCCC